Oncorhynchus masou masou (cherry salmon) is the source of this 1421-nucleotide long non-coding RNA. RefSeq lists it as uncharacterized. The transcript has 2 exons. Lineage: Eukaryota; Metazoa; Chordata; Actinopteri; Salmoniformes; Salmonidae. The record is from RefSeq and is a predicted model, not a curated record.
AGCCCUUCCUCCCUUCCGGAGUCCCCGUGUCGUGCCUCUCCCAGUAUCACCUUACUGCUGGGUAUGAAGAGGUUGUCUGUGCUGCUGGUGGACUACAGGAAAACAACGGGGCUGAGUGGAACUGUGAGAGGAGGAGAAGAGAAGAAAGGAUCAGAUUUGACACAUCAAAAAGAGCGACCCGACUCAGAGGAACCAGAGACAUCUGAACCAUUGAGACGACACCACUGUUCCCAGUGUGGAAAGAGUUAUACCCGUUUAUGGAGCCUGAAAAACCAUACGAGAACACAUGCAGGGAAGAAGCCUUAUCACUGCUCUCAGUGUGGAAAGAGUUUUACACGGUUAGGGAGCCUUGAAAUACAUAAAAGAAUACACACAGGAGACAAACCUUACCAAUGCUUCCAGUGUGGAAAGAGAUUUAUCCAGUCAACACAUCUGAACGAGCAUAAGAGAAUACACACAGGGGAAAAACCAUUCCAAUGCUCUCAGUGUGGAAGGACAUUUUCCCGAUCAGGGGACCUGAAAUCUCAUAAAAGAAUACACACAGGGGAAAAGCCUUACCACUGUUCCCAUUGUAAAAGUAGUUUUAGCUGGUCAGGGCAACUGAACGAGCAUGAGAGAACACACACCGGGGUCAAGCCUUACCACUGCUCCCAGUGUGGAAAGAGUUUUACAAGGUUGGGGUCCCUUAAAUCACAUAAGAUAUAUAUACACACACACAAGAGACAAGCCCUAUAACUACUCCCAGUGUGAAAAUAAGUAUUAUCAUUAGGGGACAUAAAAAAAAGCAAACACUCUGUAGAGAGGCCUUUCCAAUGCUCUCAGUGUGGAAUGGGAUCUGAAAGCGCAUAAGAGAAUAUACACGAGAGAAGCCAUUCCAAUGCUUGCAGUGUGCGAAGAGUUAUACCCGGUAAGGGAAUUUAGAAACUUAUGAGACACACAUGAAAUCAAAAUGUAGAUUUCCAACCCAAAUAGACAAAAGUAACUGCUAUUCAUGUGUAAUUACAUUAUUCUGACAUGCAAAAACUUGGUAUAUUUGGAAAGACGACAUCUGGGAGAUUAUGUUGAAAUUAUCAGAAGAUAAGAGUUACAUAGUUCACAAGAUCAAGCACACAUAAAAUAUUUUUUAUUUUUUUUAAAUUAUUAUUUUAUAUUAUUAUUAUUAUUUUGGCCCCUGCGCAAAAGAUCACCAGUUCUCCUACUAUGUAUUACUAUUGUGUGAUUAGCCCAGUUGGUGUUGUCAUGUGAACUCCCACGGGAGGAAUUAUGGUGUUAUUUUUCUAUCAUUGUAAAUUGUGUAUAGAGAUUGAGCUAACAUUUAUUAUUUAAUGUAUAUUGUUUAUUGGAUUUACAUUCUGUUUCCCUCUGUACACAGACCACUUGUAUACUCUGGUUCAUCAUUAAAACUCCUACUAGAGACUGAG